Molecule: long non-coding RNA, 891 nt
Organism: Marmota flaviventris (yellow-bellied marmot)
Lineage: Eukaryota; Metazoa; Chordata; Mammalia; Rodentia; Sciuridae
Source: RefSeq, a predicted model, not a curated record
GCUGGCGAUGUUGUUUCCACUUUUGCUGCACAGCCGUUGACUUGAGUAGAUUACAGCUCCGGUGGGCAAGGAAGGGACCCUCGCCUAUGUCCGGAACCCAAUGGAAGGUGAUGAGGGAUCCAAAGAUUGAGCUGAAAGAUGGGAAGACUGAGACGCCCCGCCUCUCCAGCUGGAAGGUCUGGGCAGAGACCGAAGUUCCCCUGGAGGCCUCCGGAUCCAGCUAGUCUCCCGGCGCUGAGUUUCGUCUCUACUAAUUUUGACAAGCAUUCGUAUUGCAACUACGACAGCCCUGUUUGUCUUUUAGGGAAAAUAAGAUAAAGAAACUGAGGAAGAGAGCACUAAGUAACUUGAUCAAGGCCACAGCUGGUGACAUACUCUCAAGAAACAUAGGAAAAGUUACUAGUUUUUCAGCUUAUUCCCUCACAUUUUUAUCUAUUUCAAAGCAUGUUAUCUAAGGGGCAAAACAUUAAGCCUCAAUGUUACUAUUCUACAAUAAUAACAUGGAAGUUAAAACGGAUUAAAUUCUCAUGGCCAGACCCAUUACUCUAAGCCUGGGAAAACAGUAGGGGGUUGGAGCAGUGUGAAGAUAGGAAAGUUACAGGUACACUUGGGUUGCAAAGUCUUUGUCACCAACCCCCAAACACUCAGAAGUCAAGCCAGAGCCCAGAAUCAGUCAGCAAACUUUCUUGCUACUAAACAACCUUGGAUCAUCAGAGGUUAGUAAAUAACUGGGUUAGAAAAGACUACCUCCCACCCCAAUAUGUAACCUCAAAAAUCUGUCCUGCCUUACUUGUUCAUACUAAUUGAUGGGAUACCCAUCUGUAAACCUUGAGCUUGAAUCUCAUCAUGUUUAUAAGGAUAUCAUUUUUUAAUGUAAAUAGCUAGACUCUU